GUCACGAUAGCUCAAGUGGUAGAGCAGCAGCGUGUCAAGCCGAAGAUCGUGGGUUCGAAUCCCGCUCGUGCCA
This 73-nucleotide transfer RNA is filed under the name Cimex lectularius (bed bug). RNAcentral's name for it is "tRNA-Asp". It matches the Rfam family "tRNA". From Rfam's summary of the family: Transfer RNA (tRNA) molecules are approximately 80 nucleotides in length. The record is from Rfam by way of RNAcentral. Lineage: Eukaryota; Metazoa; Arthropoda; Insecta; Hemiptera; Cimicidae.